AACGAACGCUGGCGGCAUGCCUAACACAUGCAAGUCGAACGAGACCUUCGGGUCUAGUGGCUCACGGUUGCGUCACGCGUGGGAACCUUCCCUUAUGUUCGGACUACCUCCCCGACAGGGGUGCUUAUACCGGAUCAUGUCUUCUGACCAAAGAUUUAUCGCCUUUGGUUGGGCCCGCGUUGGAUUAGCUCGUUGGUAGGGUAAAAGCCUACCAAGGCGACGAUCCAUAGCUGGUCUGAGAGGAUGAUCAGCCACACUGGGACUGAGACACGGCCCAGACUCCUACGGGAGGCAGCAGUGGGGAAUAGUGGAAAAUGGGCGAAAGCAUGAUCCAGCAAUGACGCGUGAGUGAUGAAGGCAGUAGGGUUGUAAAGCGCUUGUAACCGGGAUGAUAAUGACAGUACCGGGAGAAUAAGCUCCGGCUAACUCCGUG
Molecule: ribosomal RNA, 433 nt
Filed under: uncultured bacterium
Lineage: Bacteria
Description: partial 16S ribosomal RNA
Rfam family: Bacterial small subunit ribosomal RNA
Source: RNAcentral